Podarcis lilfordi (Lilford's wall lizard) is the source of this 73-nucleotide non-coding RNA. The record is from the annotation of a GenBank genome assembly. Lineage: Eukaryota; Metazoa; Chordata; Lepidosauria; Squamata; Lacertidae.
GAAUCUAAGCUCAGUUAGUUAAAGCAUGGUACUGAUAACACCAAGGUUGCAGGUUUGAUUCCUGUAUGGGACA